CAGAGUAUAGCUUAGCCUAGAAGAGCACCUCCCUUACACCGAGAAGACAUCCGUGCAAACCGGAUUACCCUGA
Molecule: transfer RNA, 73 nt
Filed under: Chelonodontops patoca (milkspotted puffer)
Lineage: Eukaryota; Metazoa; Chordata; Actinopteri; Tetraodontiformes; Tetraodontidae
Description: tRNA-Val
Rfam family: tRNA
About the family: Transfer RNA (tRNA) molecules are approximately 80 nucleotides in length. Their secondary structure includes four short double-helical elements and three loops (D, anti-codon, and T loops). Further hydrogen bonds mediate the characteristic L-shaped molecular structure. tRNAs have two regions of fundamental functional importance: the anti-codon, which is responsible for specific mRNA codon recognition, and the 3' end, to which the tRNAs corresponding amino acid is attached (by aminoacyl-tRNA synthetases). tRNAs cope with the degeneracy of the genetic code in two manners: having more than one tRNA (with a specific anti-codon) for a particular amino acid; and 'wobble' base-pairing, i.e. permitting non-standard base-pairing at the 3rd anti-codon position.
Source: RNAcentral